AUUGAGCAAUGGGCGCAAGCCUGACUCAGCAACGCCGCGUGGACGAUGACGGCCUUCGGGUUGUAAAGUCCUUUUCUGAGGGACGAUGAUGACGGUACCUCAGGAACAAGUCCCGGCUAACUACGUGCCAGCAGCCGCGGUAAAACGUAGGGGGCGAGCGUUAUCCGGAUUUACUGGGCGUAAAGCGCAUGUAGGCGGUUUGGAAAGUUGGACGUGAAAGCUCCUGGCUUAACUGGGAGAGGUCGUUCGAUACUACCAGACUGGAGGUUGGAAGAGGAGAGUGGAAUUCCCGGUGUAGUGGUGGAAUGCGUAGAUAUCGGGAGGAACACCAGUGGCGAAAGCGGCUCUCUGGACCAAUUCUGACGCUGAGAUGCGAAAGCGUGGGGAGCAAACGGGAUUAGAUACCCCGGUAGUCCACGCUGUAAACGAUGGAGACUAGGUGUCGGCGGUCAUUUACCCCGUCGGUGCCGCAGCUAACGCGUUAAGUCUCCCGCCUGGGGACUACGGCCGCAAGGUUA
This 518-nucleotide ribosomal RNA is filed under the name uncultured Chloroflexota bacterium. RNAcentral's name for it is "bacterial SSU rRNA". It matches the Rfam family "Bacterial small subunit ribosomal RNA", at positions 363 to 896 of the family's 1533-position model. The record is from RNAcentral. Lineage: Bacteria; Bacillati; Chloroflexota.